GGGGGAGAAAAAUAUAGUCAUACGUAAAUUUUUAUUGAGGCAUAAUUUAUGUAUAUAUAUAUAUAUAUAAUCUAUUUAGGAUUAUCGGGGAAAUUAUUUUGAUUUGCUAUUUUUUUUAUGCUUCGUCUUAUAUCUUUUGUAUGUCCAUUAAUACGUUGGUGUACCUGGUUGCUGGUUGGUGUAUAUAUGUAUGGUCACCAACAAGUCUACCGUGAAUUCCGAUCUGUCAGUUUUUAGUAAGAUUUGUUUUGUGAACGGGGCACCCGAAUACUUGUGCGGGAUGUUUAAAUACGCAACCACAUCCAGACGAAAUCGGGACGACGCCUCGUCUUAUCACAUGCUAAAGAGACCCGGUAUCGUACUCUCAACAUUAGAUUUUAGUCAAACAUAAUUCUGAGACAACAAUCCCGCAUUGUGCUAUUUCGCUAUUAAAAAGCCUUCCGUUUAUUCCAUCUUCCCUCCAUCGACCGUGACUAAUUGAAGAACCUAUUUUGAAUUCCUGCGGCCUACUUUGAACAGCCUUUAAUAUACCUGCUGUGGUUUUUGUUUGGAAUAUACAUGAAAUAUUUCCUGCGGGA
RNAcentral lists this long non-coding RNA (578 nucleotides) under Mytilus galloprovincialis (Mediterranean mussel). Lineage: Eukaryota; Metazoa; Mollusca; Bivalvia; Mytilida; Mytilidae. The record is from RNAcentral.